GACGAACGCUGGCGGCGUGCUUAACACAUGCAAGUCGAGCGGUAAGGCCCUUUCGGGGGUACACGAGCGGCGAACGGGUGAGUAACACGUGGGUGACCUGCCCUCAGCUCUGGGAUAAGCCCGGGAAACUGGGUCUAAUACUGGAUAUGACUCCAUGACGCAUGUUGUGGGGUGGAAAGCCUUGUGCGGCUGAGGAUGGGCCCGCGGCCUAUCAGCUUGUUGGUGGGGUGAUGGCCUACCAAGGCGACGACGGGUAGCCGGCCUGAGAGGGCGACCGGCCACACUGGGACUGAGACACGGCCCAGACUCCUACGGGAGGCAGCAGUGGGGAAUCUUGCGCAAUGGGCGAAAGCCUGACGCAGCGACGCCGCGUGAGGGAUGACGGCCUUCGGGUUGUAAACCUCUUUCAGCUCCGACGAAGCGGAAGUGACGGUAGGAGCAGAAGAAGCA
This 450-nucleotide ribosomal RNA is filed under the name uncultured Pseudonocardia sp. RNAcentral's name for it is "bacterial SSU rRNA". It matches the Rfam family "Bacterial small subunit ribosomal RNA", at positions 28 to 492 of the family's 1533-position model. Lineage: Bacteria; Bacillati; Actinomycetota; Actinomycetes; Pseudonocardiales; Pseudonocardiaceae. The record is from RNAcentral.